CCUACGGGGUGCAGCAGUGGGGAAUAUUGGGCAAUGGGCGCAAGCCUGACCCAGCAACGCCGCGUGAAGGAAGAAGGCUUUCGGGUUGUAAACUUCUUUUCUGAGGGACGAAGAAAGUGACGGUACCUCAGGGAUAAGCCACGGCUCACUACGUGCCAGCAGCCGCGGUAAUACGUAGUUGGCAAGCGUUAUCCGGAUUUAUUGGGUGUAAAGGGCGUGUAGGCGGGAAAGCAAGUCAGAUGUGAAAACUCAGGGCUCAACCCUGAGCCUUGAUUUGAAACUGUUUUGCUUGAGUGCUGGAGAGGCAAUCGGAAUUCCGUGUGUAGCGGUGAAAUGCGUAGAUAUACGGAGGAACACCAGUGGCGAAGGCGGAUUGCUGGACAGUAACUGACGCUGAGGCGCGAAAGCGUGGGGAGCAAACAGGAUUAGAUACCCUUGUAGUC
This 443-nucleotide ribosomal RNA is filed under the name uncultured bacterium. RNAcentral describes it as "partial 16S ribosomal RNA". It matches the Rfam family "Bacterial small subunit ribosomal RNA", at positions 338 to 795 of the family's 1533-position model. The record is from RNAcentral.